ACCUACAGCUCAACUUUUCAUCACUCCAGCAGUGACAAUUCAAGCCUGUAAUAGGCUCCCAGCACCACAUAUUGAAUAGGGUGUCCCUUCCUUAGUGUGUAUUUUCAUUGACUUUGUCAGAGAUCAAUUGGUUGCAGCCCAUUCCUGAGCGUCCUGCAGUUACUGACAUCCUCAGUUGGGGUGAAGAUCAGCACUGUGACGAGGCUCCGGAUUGAAAUAUGGUUAUUAUCAGGGGUAGAACAUUGGACUGCAAACCAACAGAUAUGAUUAUUAGUGUAUUCUCAUUAUUUUUCCAGGUGUCAAAACUGACUACAUUUUGUUAAAUGUACAAACUGCAUUCGUGAAAACUGACUGCAUUUGUGGAAUGAAAAUAAGCAGAUAAAAUUGCUUUGGAAUAAAACAUAAGUUUGUGCAGUGAAAUGGGCCCUAAGAUAUGAAGAAAUUGACAUUGAUUAAAAGGACCAGAGCCUCGGCAGAAGAAUAGACAUACAGAUUAAUUAAAUAGAAUUGACAAUCUGGAAAUAAACCCUUACAUUUACAGUCAACUGAUUUUUAACAAGUGUGUGAAGACAAUUCAAUCUAGAAAGAAUAGUGUUUUUUUAAAAAUGGUGUUGGGACAAUUGGAUAUCUACAUGUAAAAGAAUAAAAUUGGAUCCCUACCUUAAGCCACAUACAAAACUUAACUAAAAAUUGAUCCAAGAUCUAAAUGAGUCAAAGACGAACUCAACGAAUCAAAGCUAAUCUAUAAACUCUUAGAAGUAGAAGAAAACACAGGCAUCUGCAUGACUUGAAAUUUAGAAAUGGUUUAUUAGAUAUGAUGCCAAAAACAAAAGCAACAAAAGAUAGAAAUAAUGUGGACUUCAAAGACAUUUAAAACUUUGCGCUUCAAAGCAUA
This is a long non-coding RNA of Callithrix jacchus (white-tufted-ear marmoset), 895 nucleotides long. RefSeq lists it as uncharacterized. The record is from RefSeq and is a predicted model, not a curated record. NCBI's taxonomy places the organism in Eukaryota, Metazoa, Chordata, Mammalia, Primates, Cebidae.